GACGAACGCUGGCGGCGUGCUUAACACAUGCAAGUCGAACGGAAAGGCCCCUUUGGGGGUACUCGAGUGGCGAACGGGUGAGUAACACGUGAGUAACCUGCCCUUGACUUCGGGAUAACUUCAGGAAACUGGGGCUAAUACCGGAUAGGAAUCCUUGCUGCAUGGUGGGGGUUGGAAAGCUUCGGCGGUUUUGGAUGGACUCGCGGCUUAUCAGCUUGUUGGUGGGGUAGUGGCUUACCAAGGCUUUGACGGGUAGCCGGCCUGAGAGGGCGACCGGCCACAUUGGGACUGAGAUACGGCCCAGACUCCUACGGGAGGCAGCAGUGGGGAAUAUUGCACAAUGGGCGGAAGCCUGAUGCAGCAACGCCGCGGGCGGGAUGACGGCCUUCGGGUUGUAAACCGCUUUCAGCAGGGGCGAAGCUUGUGGUGACGGUACCUGCAGAAGAAGCACCGGCUAACUACGUA
Molecule: ribosomal RNA, 465 nt
Filed under: uncultured bacterium
Lineage: Bacteria
Description: partial 16S ribosomal RNA
Rfam family: Bacterial small subunit ribosomal RNA
Source: RNAcentral